GACCUCGUAGUGAAGUUCACGGUGAGUUGCAAGCUCAUUAAUGUGCACUUGGUGUGUGCCGGGGUCU
Molecule: transfer RNA, 67 nt
Filed under: Heliodoxa aurescens
Lineage: Eukaryota; Metazoa; Chordata; Aves; Apodiformes; Trochilidae
Description: tRNA-Cys
Source: RNAcentral